GUUCAAUUUGCUGUCAGUGCGCAUGCGAAGUCUCUUCACCUGUUUCAGCAAAUUUUAAUUCGAAGGUUUGUGUUUUGCUGUUUGUUGGACCUCUUGGUGAAAAGACCGAUUUCGCAAAACGCCUCCGCAGUGUGUAAGACCCAUGAAGGCCUGAUGUGAAGUGACUCAGCCCUGCUCUGAUGCUAAUUAUGGCCCACGGACAUUUAAAUACUCCAAAUCCAGAAGAAUCGUCACCUACAGUAAUCCUCCAGUCCUUUAUUUAGUCACCAGUAAAAUGCUUCACCCAGUUAAGAAGUCUGCUUUUCCAAUCAUAACCGUUUGCUGACAUCAUCAUUCUGCAUUCAUGGCACAGACCAAAUCCAACAUCCAGGCUGUAGGUAGUGCGCUUCACAGGACAUGGGAGCAACAGUCCCUUCUUAAGAGAAACUGAC
Molecule: long non-coding RNA, 431 nt
Organism: Lepisosteus oculatus (spotted gar)
Lineage: Eukaryota; Metazoa; Chordata; Actinopteri; Semionotiformes; Lepisosteidae
Source: RefSeq, a predicted model, not a curated record